CGUGGCCCUUAUCGAAGGCGUUCCUGUUUCCCUGUAGCAGGUGACGAUCAAAAGGGAGCCUAAAUAAUCACUUUUACCGACGGUCGCUGUGCGGCUGUCCCCUUAGCCACUUCAGCAACAUUAAGGGAAAGGACACAU
Ictalurus punctatus (channel catfish) is the source of this 138-nucleotide small nucleolar RNA. The record is from Ensembl. NCBI's taxonomy places the organism in Eukaryota, Metazoa, Chordata, Actinopteri, Siluriformes, Ictaluridae.